GGUCAUUAAUUCAAGCAACAUCUGCACCGAAGUAACUAAAAGCAACUCAAAUCGGAAGUUUUUUGGCUGAUGCCUAUUUGAGAAGACAUGAUACUAGAAAAAUCAGAAUGUCUUUUUGCAUAUAACAAAUCUGCAGUUCACUUGCUUGGGAAAGUCGGUGAGGAUUUGACAUCAAAAAGAGAGGUUGAUUUGAUGGGCAAGGUGCGAUGACUCCAAAUGGGUUUUAGUUGCAUUACAGGAACUGUGAAUAUUUAUACUUCAAUGGGUUUGACAGGAGAAGAGAGAUCGAAUCAAUUGACAGGAUGCUGCUUCUUGAGGAUAAAAGUCAAAAUUCUCAAAACAACAUUACUGACACUUUUGAUAUAUGUACAGCUGCAGUUGGUAAUAGCAUUGAUCAAGAAGCUGGCAAUUUGUUGAAUUCAAGAAGCGGGAAGAAUGCUUUGGAAUCGACUGACGUUUUCCCCAAACCCAAAGACUCCUUAAUUGAAUUGAAAUUCCCAGCUUUUCCUACAGUGAUUGGUAUCAAUCAGAUAUGUGAAAUCUUGCCUCACAGGUUUCCAUUUCUUUUGGUGGGUAGAGAGAUCGAGUACAACUGAUUUUGAGUUUUUGAUGUGAGGAGGAAGAGCAUGGAUAUUGUGUAUAUGAUAAAAGCAAACAUGUUCCAAGCUCAGGGAGAACACUUGCUCAAUGUGGUUUUGCCUUAUCUAUACAGUACAAAGAGGUUCUCUAUUUUAAUUUUUUUGUGUUUUAGUAAGAUACUGAUCAAUACUCUAAUUUCUCAAAAUAGCAUGCUUCCUUUGGUUAGUUUUAUGAGUUUUCCGAUCAACUCAAAACUGG
Fragaria vesca subsp. vesca is the source of this 837-nucleotide RNA transcript. RefSeq lists it as uncharacterized. NCBI's taxonomy places the organism in Eukaryota, Viridiplantae, Streptophyta, Magnoliopsida, Rosales, Rosaceae. The record is from RefSeq and is a predicted model, not a curated record. The transcript has 8 exons.